This is a long non-coding RNA of Gallus gallus (chicken), 982 nucleotides long. NCBI's taxonomy places the organism in Eukaryota, Metazoa, Chordata, Aves, Galliformes, Phasianidae. The record is from Ensembl.
CUGCCUAAAUGCUUUCAUGUGAACUGCUGUUUCUUCAGAAAAUUCAGGCAUUACUAGGAAUUCAUUCUUCUGUAAAGGAUAACAGGGAUCACGUUGGAAAGUCUUCUGGAUCUUCUGUGUUUGGAUGCUUCGGUUUUCCCAGGUACACUGUGGAGCUGAUGAAUUAACGCCUAUUUUUUUGUUCCUGAGCACUGUUGCCUUUCUGAUCUUGGUGGCUGCUCACCCAAAGUGUGGACACAAGAGGGAGGCUGCUAUUUGACAUGCUUCCCUGGGAACUCAACACAUUGCCUCCAUGACAUUUCUAUUUUUCCACCCCCUGAUAUUUCAGCAGCAAGGUGAUUCAUUCAGAAUAGUUUUACCCUAUUUCUGACAUCACAGAUCUAUCAGCAGAGAUGGUCUGACAGGAGUCUGAAACCGGUACUCUGUAAUGUGGCCAAUACGUAAUUUUUAUCUAAACAUAAGAGUGAGAAUGGGGCAAAUUUUUUGUUUAUCUUUUUAUUUUUAUUUUUAUUUUUUGAAGUGAGCUUUCUACUUAAAGGCUGCAUUCCCCCAUCAGUUUCUCUUACUUUCUUUGAUAGCAUGUUUUCCACACUUGUGUUGUGCAUGGCUCCUCAAAUGCCAUUACAGGCUGAGCAAACACCUUUGCUGUUAUGGUAAGAAGGACCAAUUUUGGCCUGAAUAUUUGAUAAGAAUAAAUUACAUUUUUCUUGCUUACCAUGUCAAAAAUAAGUAUAUAAAUAAAUAAAAUUGCCACUCUGCCAACCAGAACAAACUUUCUUUGCAGAACUUUACAGCUUACAGUUACUUGGGGACCCCUGUUGAAAAACAACUUCUGAAAGUCUGGUAACUUUUCUUCAGUGCUUAAUUGAGAACAGACUAUUUUGGAAACAUCAACCAUCAGAGAUAUGUAAUCACCUAAAUAGGUGGAGGCAAUGUAAUUAUACAGAAUCAUCUUUGUUCCAGGGUUAAUGCAAGAAAAGAG